Molecule: ribosomal RNA, 497 nt
Filed under: uncultured bacterium
Lineage: Bacteria
Description: partial 16S ribosomal RNA
Rfam family: Bacterial small subunit ribosomal RNA
Source: RNAcentral
GAUGAACGCUGGCGGCGUGCCUAAUACAUGCAAGUCGAGCGAACAGACGAGGAGCUUGCUCCUCUGACGUUAGCGGCGGACGGGUGAGUAACACGUGGAUAACCUACCUAUAAGACUGGGAUAACUUCGGGACACCGGAGCUAAUACCGGAUAAUAUAUUGAACCGCAUGGUUCAAUGGUGAAAGACGGUUUUGCUGUCACUUAUAGAUGGAUCCGCGCCGCAUUAGCUAGUUGGUAAGGUAAAGGCUUAGUAAGGCAACCAUGCGUAGCCGACCUGAGAGGGUGAUAGGCCACCCUGGAACGGAGACACGGUCCAGACUCCUACGGGACGCAGCAGUAGGGAACCGUACGCAAUGGGCGAAAGCAUGACGGAGCAACGCGGCGUGAGUGAUGAAGGUCUUGGGAGCGUAAAAACGUGUUAUUAGGGAAGAACAAAUGUGUAAGUAAAUAAGCACGUAUUGACGGUACCUAAUCAGAAAGCCCCGGCUAACUACGUG